RNAcentral lists this long non-coding RNA (462 nucleotides) under Pan troglodytes (chimpanzee). RNAcentral describes it as "lincRNA". The record is from RNAcentral. Lineage: Eukaryota; Metazoa; Chordata; Mammalia; Primates; Hominidae.
GGAUUUGAGUCUUGAAUGUAGGAGCAGAGUUACCUGAAUAUAUGGAGUUGAUGGAGACAUUCCUUGAUGAGGAGCAGAAAUUCCCCAGGGACCUUGUAAAUCUGAAGCAGAUAAAGGGAAAUGAAGAAACCAAGUUUUACAACUUUGAUGAGUGGCAAAAUUUGUCAAUAAGAGCUAGAUAUUAAGUAAUUAGCUUUUAGGAAGCAAAGUGUAUUGGACUUGGUUAUGAUAUGAAGGAAUUCAUUUAAUAAUCAAACGAAACGUUUUGAUUAAAAAUCAAAACGAAAACAAAAACAACAAAAACAAAGAAGCGAAGCAUGAAUCUCCUAAUCAGCAGAAAAGGGAGGACAGCCGGAGACAAUCGUAUUCCUGAUCGAUACUGAUGUAAACUUGUGCUGGAACAAUGGGACCAUCUCGUUGCAGGAAAACAAGCUCAGGGCUCCCACUGAUUCUACAUUAUGG